AGAUUGAACGCUGGCGGCAUGCCUUACACAUGCAAGUCGAACGGCAGCACGGGAGCAAUCCUGGUGGCGAGUGGCGAACGGGUGAGUAAUAUAUCGGAACGUGCCCAGUCGUGGGGGAUAACGCAGCGAAAGCUGUGCUAAUACCGCAUACGAUCUAUGGAUGAAAGCGGGGGGAUCGCAAGACCUCGCGCGAUUGGAGCGGCCGGAUAUCAGAUUAGGUAGUUGGUGGGGUAAAGGGCCUACCAAGCCUGCGAUCUGUAGCUGGUCUGAGAGGACGACCAGCCACACUGGAACUGAGACACGGUCCAGACUCCUACGGGGAGGCAGCAGUGGGGGAAUUUUGGACAAUGGGGCGCGAAGCCUGAUCCCAGCCAAUGCCGCG
Molecule: ribosomal RNA, 382 nt
Filed under: uncultured soil bacterium
Lineage: Bacteria
Description: bacterial SSU rRNA
Rfam family: Bacterial small subunit ribosomal RNA
Source: RNAcentral